RNAcentral lists this ribosomal RNA (253 nucleotides) under uncultured bacterium. RNAcentral describes it as "partial 16S ribosomal RNA". It matches the Rfam family "Bacterial small subunit ribosomal RNA", at positions 524 to 776 of the family's 1533-position model. The record is from RNAcentral.
UACGUAGGGUGCAAGCGUUGUCCGGAAUUAUUGGGCGUAAAGAGCUUGUAGGCGGUUUGUCGCGUCUGCUGUGAAAUUUCGGGGCUCAACCCCGAACUUGCAGUGGGUACGGGCAGACUAGAGUGUGGUAGGGGAGGCUGGAAUUCCUGGUGUAGCGGUGAAAUGCGCAGAUAUCAGGAGGAACACCGAUGGCGAAGGCAGGUCUCUGGGCAUUAACUGACGCUGAGGAGCGAAAGCAUGGGGAGCGAACAGG